UACGUAGGGUGCAAGCGUUGUCCGGAAUUAUUGGGCGUAAAGAGCUCGUAGGCGGUCUGUCGCGUCGGCUGUGAAAACUCGGGGCUCAACUCCGAGCUUGCAGUCGAUACGGGCAGGCUAGAGUUCGGCAGGGGAGACUGGAAUUCCUGGUGUAGCGGUGAAAUGCGCAGAUAUCAGGAGGAACACCGAUGGCGAAGGCGGGUCUCUGGGCCGAUACUGACGCUGAGGAGCGAAAGCGUGGGGAGCGAACAGG
This 253-nucleotide ribosomal RNA is filed under the name uncultured bacterium. Its description in RNAcentral is "partial 16S ribosomal RNA". It matches the Rfam family "Bacterial small subunit ribosomal RNA", at positions 524 to 776 of the family's 1533-position model. The record is from RNAcentral.